GACGAACGCUGGCGGCGUGCCUAAUACAUGCAAGUUGAGCGCUGAAGGUUGGUACUUGUACCAACUGGAUGAGCAGCGAACGGGUGAGUAACGCGUGGGGAAUCUGCCUUUGAGCGGGGGACAACAUUUGGAAACGAAUGCUAAUACCGCAUAAAAACUUUAAACACAAGUUUUAAGUUUGAAAGAUGCAAUUGCAUCACUCAAAGAUGAUCCCGCGUUGUAUUAGCUAGUUGGUGAGGUAAAGGCUCACCAAGGCGAUGAUACGUAGCCGACCUGAGAGGGUGAUCGGCCACAUUGGGACUGAGACACGGCCCAAACUCCUACGGGAGGCAGCAGUAGGGAAUCUUCGGCAAUGGACGAAAGUCUGACCGAGCAACGCCGCGUGAGUGAAGAAGGUUUUCGGAUCGUAAAACUCUGUUGGUAGAGAAGAACGUUGGUGAGAGUGGAAAGCUCAUCAAGUGACGGUAACUACCCAGAAAGGGACGGCCAACUACGUG
Molecule: ribosomal RNA, 497 nt
Filed under: uncultured bacterium
Lineage: Bacteria
Description: partial 16S ribosomal RNA
Rfam family: Bacterial small subunit ribosomal RNA
Source: RNAcentral